GAUAAACGCUGGCGGCGUGCUUAACACAUGCAAGUCGAACGAAGUUUUUCUUUCGGGAGGAACUUAGUGGCGGACGGGUGAGUAACGCGUGGGUAACCUGCCCUGUACAGGGGGACAACAGCUGGAAACGGCUGCUAAUACCGCAUAAGCCCUUAACACCGCAUGGUGUAUAGGGAAAAGGAGCAAUCCGGUACAGGAUGGACCCGCGUCUGAUUAGCCAGUUGGCAGGGUAACGGCCUACCAAAGCGACGAUCAGUAGCCGAUCUGAGAGGAUGUACGGCCACAUUGGGACUGAGACACGGCCCAGACUCCUACGGGAGGCAGCAGUGGGGAAUAUUGCACAAUGGAGGAAACUCUGAUGCAGCGACGCCGCGUGAGUGAAGAAGUAUUUCGGUAUGUAAAGCUCUAUCAGCAGGGAAGAAAAUGACGGUACCUGACUAAGAAGCACCGGCUAAAUACGUGCCAGCAGCCGCGGUAAUACGUAUGGUGCAAGCGUUAUCCGGAUUUACUGGGUGUAAAGGGAGCGUAGGUGGCAAGGCAAGCCAGAAGUGAAAACCCGGGGCUCAACCGCGGGAUUGCUUUUGGAACUGUCAUGCUAGAGUGCAGGAGGGGUGAGCGGAAUUC
RNAcentral lists this ribosomal RNA (624 nucleotides) under uncultured Lachnospiraceae bacterium. Its description in RNAcentral is "bacterial SSU rRNA". It matches the Rfam family "Bacterial small subunit ribosomal RNA", at positions 28 to 669 of the family's 1533-position model. The record is from RNAcentral. Lineage: Bacteria; Bacillati; Bacillota; Clostridia; Lachnospirales; Lachnospiraceae.